AUGUGGUAGUGAGCUGAUCAUCCACUUUCUUCUAAAAUAAAGAGAAAAAAAUGGCCAGUAUUCAUCCUGUCCUUCUCUUUCCCCAUUCCUUGAUAACUCUCUUGUCUUUACUGGGAGGCUGGAGAGUCACAGUCUAGUAGAAGAAAGUUCCUAUUGAUC
This 159-nucleotide small RNA is filed under the name Pongo abelii (Sumatran orangutan). RNAcentral describes it as "processed transcript". The record is from RNAcentral. Lineage: Eukaryota; Metazoa; Chordata; Mammalia; Primates; Hominidae.